This 1134-nucleotide long non-coding RNA is filed under the name Brachypodium distachyon (stiff brome). Its description in RNAcentral is "long non-coding RNA (BDIS_LNC001013)". Lineage: Eukaryota; Viridiplantae; Streptophyta; Magnoliopsida; Poales; Poaceae. The record is from RNAcentral.
GUUCUUACACAAGUCUCCGGCUUCUUCUUCAUUUGCCAGGAGAGUCGUCGGCCCGCUGCCACAUGCGAGGUGUUUUAGAUAACCUCGUUGUUUUCCUUUCAUUGACAGUCGGACGCGGUGCUCCCACCCGAACUGUGCUUGAUCAUAGCUCUGCCAGUCGACGUGAAUGUCCGUCGUCUGCCGAAGAAGUUCACGAUUUGUCUGAACACUCGCCUGCGAGGGAGGCGGGAGCGGGCAGCCGGAGAACAAGAAGCCGAGGAUCAAGCACCGUUUGGUAAAGCCACGCUUUCUCUAAUUUCUUGUGUUUCCUUUGGGUUUCCUCCAAUAGCUCACACGCAUUCACAAGAAAGGUUAAUACAUUGACGAGACGAGAGAGGUUAAUUUGGAGUACUGGAACUUUCAUGGAUGGAUGUUAGGUAGAGCUAACACAAAUUGAUCCUCUCCGAUGUGUUAGACAAAUCGAUCGAUCGAACAAUAAGUUUAUAUAUAUACAUGUUCAGAGGAAAGGUAGUUUUGAUGUUAAAAAUAGAGAUGUUAGCUACUACUACAUGCAACUGCUAUGAAUAUGAUGGCAGCUUUGCAUGAUCACACUGGCCUAAGGUGACGGUAUGUGUUAUAUACCAUCCAAUUAGUGUGAAUAGGGUACACACUGAACGCCAUUUAAUUUGUAUGAACACAGAAGCACAUUAGCUAUCAGAGGUUGUAUGCAGUGCAUAUUCAGGUCAUUCAUGGAGUACUAACGAAAACAAUUUUUUUCUCAAAUUUCAUUAAGAAGAAGGCGCAAGAAACACAAAUACACAACAAAGGAUCCCCAAUGGGACUCGAAAAAAGAAAGAAAAAAGAAAAGAACAAGGAAAAAAACUCAUCCACUCUGUUGUGCAGUGCAUUCAGGUGCUCUGUUCGACCCUAUCCACUCUGCAUUUGGCAGUAGUAGUAGCCGAUCGAAAUCGACCUUAAUUGGUUAUCUCAUCUGAGAUCGAUCUGUCUGAAUCCCUCUCCGACCCAAAACCACUAUUGUUUUCUGGCGUUGCUUGCCGAUAUAUGAGCAUUUCAGUUCAGAAGAGGACUUUCUUUUUUCCUUUGGCAAGAACGAGGACAUCCUCGUUACAAAAUUCUGACAUUACAGAUAAGCCA